GUGCUUGCUUUGGCAGCAUAUAUACUAAAAGAGAAGAUUAGCGUGACCCUUGUGCAAGGAUGGCACACAAAUUCGUGAAGCGUUCCAUGUUUUU
Molecule: small nuclear RNA, 94 nt
Filed under: Phocoena sinus (vaquita)
Lineage: Eukaryota; Metazoa; Chordata; Mammalia; Artiodactyla; Phocoenidae
Also listed under: 1 other name
Source: RNAcentral